Long non-coding RNA from Poecilia latipinna (sailfin molly), 828 nucleotides. RefSeq lists it as uncharacterized. Lineage: Eukaryota; Metazoa; Chordata; Actinopteri; Cyprinodontiformes; Poeciliidae. The record is from RefSeq and is a predicted model, not a curated record. The transcript is spliced from 2 exons.
ACCAGGAACGCCUGACCACGUCAGAAACAACCAGACCUAUUUACAUCCACAAAGGAGGCAGAAUUAGGCCUUCAGCUCCAAACGGCGCUCCUCUAAGUCUGGAGAACGUUUCACAAUAUCGCGGCACAAAUGAAAUGCUUCCUGGAAACACAAUGACGAGCGUUUGUGCAGAUCCGGCUGGAGAGAAGUCAGACACAGAUAAGACGCUCCAGUAUGACAUGAGUUUAAAUAUUUCCGAAGCAAAACGAGAGGAAACAGAGACACGCAGCGAGUCCAGCAGACAGGAACAAAGUCCUGCUCUCCAGUUUCCUGUCUGCACAUCAGCAUGGAGGCCCAUCAGUAAUGAGCUGGCACACACCAAGAUGGCAGCUCACGCAGCCUCGAGAAAAAAGACGGGGAAAGCUCGUCAUGUCCAAUGUGUGCAGUGGGAAGAGAGCCACGACCUUUGCUGAUGCGGCUGCGACUUCCCUCCAGUCGGCCGCGCUUCUGAAGCUUCGGGAGGAAAAUCUGCCUUCAAACACCUCGACUCAUGAAGCAGCAUCAGGAAGCAUCUCCAGUUGCUGCUGCGAAUCAGGCUGAGCGACAUGGACUGAAGGUUGGUCCUGAGGAUCUAUGAUCAGAACAAUUAAAGUGACGACACCAACUAUUUAUUCAGGUUUUUAGGCAACAGCAUGAACAAACAGAAAUACUGGAAAAUAUUCCCAUUAAAACAAGAUUCUUUAGGACUCCAGUCACAUGAAGACGUGUCAUUUGUGUCACUAAUCUGUAAUUUAUUGAUAUUUAUUCGCUCCAUCAGGAUAAUAAAUUUUACUGGACAAUAAACAAAAA